CAGCAAAAUAGGGACUCAGGCAAACUGGGUCCUAGAACUGACUGAUCACAGCCGGCAGUGUGACCUCACUGUCCUCAGUGAUCUCGUCCAUAGCAGCUGAGGAUGAGGGUUUCGGACUCAGGUGGUGGUGAGUUAGAAGAAAGGAAGCCUCGGAGGCUAGCUGAAAUAAAAGUAGAUUUGCUGUAAGGAUAUGGCGGGGAGUCUCACUAAAGACGGGAAGCAAAGUCUCACCAGGCUACAUGGCCCUGGAACCAGAAAGUUCUCUCAGCCUCUCCUGGGUCCUCAAGGCCCCUGGCCCUGCCUCUCGGUGAGUGUGAUCCGGUUUUACUGUCCCCUCCACAGCCCCGCUGUCUGUGCUCACUCAGGGCUUCUCUGCUCCAGGUACAUUGUAGCUUUGCUCUGCUUUGGGACCCGGCUCCAGCAGUGCCUUUCUCUGAUCUUUCCUGGUGAUACACCCCUCUUCGUCUUCCUGCUUCAGGCUGUGUUCACCUUGGUUCAAGAGGAGGUGUGUGUGGGGUGAGUGGCCACGUGGUACAAACUCAACAGCCAGAGCUGUGGGUGGAGACAGAGUCUCCGAGGGUGUGAGGUGGGAGCCGGUGAUUGGCCAGUCCGCCACUCUUGGAUCUUGAGAGGGUCUUGGUUACAGGUUCCAUAAUUCUACCACCUUUGUUGUUUCUGUUACGGUUACCAACUUGAGAGAGCGUGCCUCGAAAGGCAUUGAGAUUGAAUUCCAGCCUGACAGCAACGAGGUGUUUUUCAGAGAUUGCAAGCCCCUUUUGGCAGGGUGAAAGCGCAGCUUAAGCUGCAGGCCGCAGAGCGAGCUGUUUGUUGUUGUUCCUCCACUAACGCUGACUGUACACAAGAGGCUGCCUUCACCUUGGGGCCAGCAGACUUGGAGGGAGCCAUGCAGAUUAGCGAACGCACCUGACGAAAACAGGAUGUAUUUUAUUACAAAGGGCAGUUUUGAGAUGAAAACAUGAUCGGAGGGGCUAAGUUAAUUUUUCAAAGUCACAAAGCUAACAAAUGGCUUCCAGUGGAGGAGGAACAGUAUGAUUUCAAAGCCAGUGCUCCAUCCACUCUAUCAGGAGAGUUCUCCCAAAAGAAAUGUGACUGUGUGAGGGCAAGGCCAAAGUCCUAAGGGUCUUGGCUCAUCUCCCAUUGGGUCAUCGUGUGCUUCCGG
This 1180-nucleotide long non-coding RNA is filed under the name Equus caballus (horse). RNAcentral's name for it is "lncRNA (ENSECAG00000053166.1)". Lineage: Eukaryota; Metazoa; Chordata; Mammalia; Perissodactyla; Equidae. The record is from RNAcentral.